Molecule: long non-coding RNA, 1343 nt
Organism: Zingiber officinale
Lineage: Eukaryota; Viridiplantae; Streptophyta; Magnoliopsida; Zingiberales; Zingiberaceae
Exons: 4
Source: RefSeq, a predicted model, not a curated record
UUCUUCUCUUCGUCGUGCGACACCCGCCGCGUCCACAUGGCUCUGGUCCGGCGUUACUUAUUCGUGGUCUUCCGCCAUGGACGACGACGCCUAAUACCAGUCAAUCCAAGACUACGCCCGCCCAACCGAUCUUCCAUGCAGGGCACAACCUCCUGGGAUUAAUCACAUUGCGUCUCAAGUGACGGCGGCGAGGACAUUUGGCACGCUCGAUUGCGCUGCUGUGGCGAUCCGACACCCGCGGAAAAAAGAUUUGGAACGAGAAGUGGUUGAAUUUGAUGUUUUUGAAUGAAUGCACAAAAGAAAGCAAGAUAGUGAGUUUGUUGAACAAAUCGGUGUCCGUGAAGAAAAGCUUAUCGAGAAAGGUAGGAAAACCGAAGAAAAUCUCAAGAAGAUGGUUCGCAGGAUAAUUUAAGAGGGAAGUUAUUAUGGAGUUGAAGGCUGCUGGUGCUUCAUGGAUUCAAUUUGAAGAGCCAACCCUUGUUCUGGAUCUUCAGUCCUAUCAGUUAGAGGCAUUCACAAAGGCUUACUCCGAACUAUAAUCAUCUCUGUCAGGCUUGAGUGUGCUCAUCGAGACUUUACUGAUGUCCCUGCAGAAGCAUAUAAGUUAGUUUGUUCAUAUUGGUCGACACCACAUUGCAACUUUCAGAUUAUUUUAAAAUUUCCAGGAUUGUCACUGCUUUGAAGGGUGUCUCGGGUUUUGGUUUUGACCUUGGACUUGAUCAAGACUACAAGCUUCCCUGCUGGCAAAUAUCUUUUUCCAGGAGUUGUUGAUGGAAGGAACAUUUCGGCAAAUGAUCUUGCAUCCUCUCUCAGCAUAUUUGAGACUUUUGAGGCCAUUGUUGGCAAAGAUCGACGCCCACAUGUGCUACUCUAACUUAAACGACAUCAUUCACUCCAUCAUCGACAUGGAUGCCGAUGUGAUCAUGAUUGAGAACUCUCAGUCCGACGAGCAACUCCUAUCAGUGUUCCGAGAGGGAGUCAAGUAUGGAGCUGAUACAGCUCAAUUUUCUCCUGAUAACAUUGUUCUUGUUCUUGGUUAGAAUUUUCUCCUAAUAACGUUGUUAUUGUCGAUGAGCUUGUCUUAGAAUUCUUUUUACUCUUUUUCUUGUGAUUCCUGGUGGUGUAUCGUGGGCUUUUCCUAGGCUGAGAGAACCCCAAACAUAGUAGCUCAACCUAUGAUGCCGGCUUGAUUCUUGUUUUUGAGCUCAAGUUUAGUUGCCUUUUUUGUUUUGACCAAUUUCAUGGUACCCUUUGAGAAUAUGCAAAUACCACAAUGUGAAAAUAAAAGACAACUAAAUCUUGUAAGAGGUACACUCGUCCUUGUUGAGCUGAUCUCUCUCGGA